AGAGAGACAAAUUCUAAAUUUUCGUGUCUAACGUUUGAUUGGUCGUCUUAUAUGAAUUUUUUUAAUUAGUAUUUUUAUUGUUGUUAGAUGAUAAAAUAUGAUUAAUACUUUAUGCGUAGCUUGUCUUUUUUAUUUUUUUAUAUUUUUUCAAAUAAAACAGGUGGUCAAACGUUGGACACGGAAACUUGGGUUUAUU
RNAcentral lists this microRNA precursor (196 nucleotides) under Oryza sativa Japonica Group (Japanese rice). Its description in RNAcentral is "MIR812 microRNA precursor family". It matches the Rfam family "MIR812 microRNA precursor family". The record is from Rfam by way of RNAcentral. Lineage: Eukaryota; Viridiplantae; Streptophyta; Magnoliopsida; Poales; Poaceae.